This 521-nucleotide ribosomal RNA is filed under the name uncultured bacterium. RNAcentral's name for it is "bacterial SSU rRNA". It matches the Rfam family "Bacterial small subunit ribosomal RNA", at positions 988 to 1509 of the family's 1533-position model. The record is from RNAcentral.
CCAGAGAACUUUCCAGAGAUGGAUUGGUGCCUUCGGGAACUCUGAGACAGGUGCUGCAUGGCUGUCGUCAGCUCGUGUUGUGAAAUGUUGGGUUAAGUCCCGCAACGAGCGCAACCCUUAUCCUUUGUUGCCAGCGGUUAGGCCGGGAACUCAAAGGAGACUGCCAGUGAUAAACUGGAGGAAGGUGGGGAUGACGUCAAGUCAUCAUGGCCCUUACGAGUAGGGCUACACACGUGCUACAAUGGCGCAUACAAAGAGAAGCGACCUCGCGAGAGCAAGCGGACCUCAUAAAGUGCGUCGUAGUCCGGAUUGGAGUCUGCAACUCGACUCCAUGAAGCCGGAAUCGCUAGUAAUCGUGGAUCAGAAUGCCACGGUGAAUACGUUCCCGGGCCUUGUACACACCGCCCGUCAUACCAUGGGAGUGGGUUGCAAAAGAAGUAGGUAGCUUAACCUUCGGGAGGGCGCUUACCACUUUGUGAUUCAUGACUGGGGUGAAGUCGUAACAAGGUAAGCGUAGUGCU